AUCAACUUUCGAUGGUAGGAUAGAGGCCUACCAUGGUGGUAACGGGUAACGGGGUGUUAGGGCACGACACCGGAGAGGGAGCCUGAGAAACGGCUACCACAUCCAAGGAUGGCAGCAGGCGCGCAAAUUACCCAAUCCCGACACGGGGAGGUAGUGACAAUAAAUAACAAUACGGGGUCCUUUCGGGUUUCGUAAUUGGAAUGAGUACAAUUUAAAUCUCUUAACGAGGAACAAUUGGAGGGCAAGUCUGGUGCCAGCAGCCGCGGUAAUUCCAGCUCCAAUAGCGUAUAUUAAAGUUGUUGCAGUUAAAAAGCUCGUAGUUGAAUUUCGGGAUUAGUGCGCCGGUCGUGCCUUCGGUAUGUACCGGUGUUACUGGUUCCUACCUUCUGACGAACCGUCAUGUCAUUAAUUUGGUGUGGCGGGGAAUCAGGACUGUUACUUUGAAAAAAUUAGAGUGUUUAAAGCAGGCUCGCGCUUGAAUACAUUAGCAUGGAAUAAUGAAAUAGGACGUUCGAUCCUAUUUUGUUGGUUUCUAGGAUUGACGUAAUGAUUAAUAGGGAUAGUUGGGGGCAUUAGUAUUCAAUUGUCAGAGGUGAAAUUCUUGGAUUUAUUGAAGACUAACUACUGCGAAAGCAUUUGCCAAGGAUGUUUUCAUUAAUCAAGAACGAAAGUUAAGGGAUCGAAGACGAUCAGAUACCGUCGUAGUCUUAACCAUAAACUAUGCCGACUAGGGAUCGGAUGAUGUUAUUUUUAAUGACUCAUUCGGCGCCUUACGGGAAACCAAAGUGUUUGGGUUC
This 797-nucleotide ribosomal RNA is filed under the name uncultured Glomus. RNAcentral's name for it is "SSU rRNA". It matches the Rfam family "Eukaryotic small subunit ribosomal RNA", at positions 314 to 1114 of the family's 1831-position model. The record is from RNAcentral. Lineage: Eukaryota; Fungi; Glomeromycota; Glomeromycetes; Glomerales; Glomeraceae.